Molecule: ribosomal RNA, 782 nt
Filed under: Capnodiales sp. L2186
Lineage: Eukaryota; Fungi; Ascomycota; Dothideomycetes; Capnodiales
Description: SSU rRNA
Rfam family: Eukaryotic small subunit ribosomal RNA
Source: RNAcentral
GCAACUAUACGGUGAAACUGCGAAUGGCUCAUUAAAUCAGUUAUCGUUUAUUUGAUAGUACCCUACUACAUGGAUAACCGUGGUAAUUCUAGAGCUAAUACAUGCUAAAAACCCCGACUUCGGAAGGGGUGUAUUUAUUAGAUAAAAAACCAGCGCCCUCCGGGGCUCCUUGGUGAAUCAUAAUAACUUAACGAAUCGCAUGGCCUUGCGCCGGCGAUGGUUCAUUCAAAUUUCUGCCCUAUCAACUUUCGAUGGUAGGAUAGUGGCCUACCAUGGUUUCAACGGGUAACGGGGAAUUAGGGUUCGACUCCGGAGAGGGAGCCUGAGAAACGGCUACCACAUCCAAGGAAGGCAGCAGGCGCGCAAAUUACCCAAUCCCGACACGGGGAGGUAGUGACAAUAAAUACUGAUACAGGGCUCUUUUGGGUCUUGUAAUUGGAAUGAGUACAAUUUAAAUCCCUUAACGAGGAACAAUUGGAGGGCAAGUCUGGUGCCAGCAGCCGCGGUAAUUCCAGCUCCAAUAGCGUAUAUUAAAGUUGUUGCAGUUAAAAAGCUCGUAGUUGAACCUUGGGCCUGGCUGGCCGGUCCGCCUCACCGCGUGUACUGGUCCGGCCGGGCCUUUCCUUCUGGGGAGCCGCAUGGCCUUCACUGGCCGUGUCGGGGAACCAGGACUUUUACUUUGAAAAAAUUAGAGUGUUCAAAGCAGGCCUUUGCUCGGAUACAUUAGCAUGGAAUAAUAGAAUAGGACGUGUGGUUCUAUUUUGUUGGUUUCUAGGACCGCC